CCUACGGGUGGCUGCAGUGAGGAAUUUUGCGCAAUGGGGGAAACCCUGACGCAGCGACGCCGCGUGGAGGAUGACGUCCUUCGGGAUGUAAACUCCUGUCAGUGGGAACGAUAAUGACGGUACCCACAGAGGAAGCACCGGCUAACUCCGUGCCAGCAGCCGCGGUAAGACGGAGGGUGCAAGCGUUGUUCGGAAUUACUGGGCGUAAAGCGUACGUAGGCGGUUGAUUAAGUCAAAUGUAAAAGCCCGGGGCUCAACCCCGUGGUCGCACUUGA
RNAcentral lists this ribosomal RNA (275 nucleotides) under uncultured bacterium. RNAcentral's name for it is "partial 16S ribosomal RNA". It matches the Rfam family "Bacterial small subunit ribosomal RNA", at positions 338 to 630 of the family's 1533-position model. The record is from RNAcentral.